This 2088-nucleotide long non-coding RNA is filed under the name Daphnia magna. RNAcentral's name for it is "uncharacterized LOC116916151, transcript variant X10". Lineage: Eukaryota; Metazoa; Arthropoda; Branchiopoda; Diplostraca; Daphniidae. The record is from RNAcentral.
UUCCCCCUCCUACUAAAAUUAAAAUCGCAAUAUCUUCUUAAAUGAUACGUUUUAUAAAGAAAAAAUUGGAUGGUUACAAUCGCCUUUUAAAGCUGCAUUUAAUGGUGUAUUUUUUAUUUUUUCAUGAAAAUAGCCCACAUCGACACCCUUUAACAAGGCGAGAUAGGGAAAGAGUCCCGUCCUUUAGUUACAGUAGUCCAUGGUCCAACCAUGGAAUGAGUCACUGAGAUGUGACUAAGUCAACCAAACGGGGCAACAACAAUUAGACAGCAUUGAAAUUAGUCAGUGGAAAACAACACAUUCAUUCCUGACAUGAUUGAGAUUUGCCAUGUUUUCAGGCUAACUGGAAGGAUUCCUCUUUUUCACAGAAAUUUUAUCAUUUUCAUGGUAUACUAAACUGCUUGCUGGUGGAUUGUCACUUGGCAUCAUUCGAAUGGUUUGGUCCAUAUCAGCAGUGUUAUGAUGCACUUCUUAAGUACACAAAUCCCUCAGAAAAUAUUCUAAUUGAAAUUAGGAAAAUUUCUGCCCUUCAUGCAGAACUGCACAAUGAUGGGUUCAUAUAAACAAGCUUGAAAUAACAAGGUAGAAUAAUCGCAAUUUCGUGGUAGUAAUUCGCGAGAGAUAUGCCAAUAGGGUUUCGCUGUUUUCAAUUCACAAUCGUAAUGGAUUUGAAGAGGAUAUUGAUGGAAGUUUUGGUGUAAAAAAGUAUAAGUACAUGUUCGUUGGAAGGGUAACCGAAGAGUUCCGGAUCCUUAUACUAUCGUACAUGUUAUGGUAUUUUUACAAAAUCAUAGAAGUGCUUAUCUGGGCCGCCUUGUUUUCUGUGGCCCCGUUUCCCCUUGACUUAUAUUAUUUUCUUUAACCCUUUAGUGUGUUUAAAACUAAAGGCUAAAAGAGGAAGAAUGAUUCAAAAAUUGUGGGAUAGAAUCAUCAAAGAAUUAUACUCGUUUAGCUGUUUUUACUGUCCAUGGGAAUUUUUUGGUCGAGACGUUAUGGGUGUCUUAAAUGCACUGAAGGUUGCGUUAGAUGUCAUAAUCCCCAUCAAAAGGGAACGCUUAAAAUCCCAGGUGGCGAUGGUAAUUAGUGGCAAUGUUACGGUGUAGGUAACUUCAGAAAAUGUGAUGCUAGCUGAUGUAAACCGCACCAGCUGUGCUAAUACCAAGUCUGUCUCAUUAUGCAGGCUAGCAGGAAAAGGUUGUGAGAGUAGCAGAAGAAGAGGAAAUUGCAGUAAACCCGGUUUUGAAAGAAGCCAAACAUUCUGACAAUAUGGGAGCUCAGUCUGUGGAAACAAAAACCUCAUGUUUCAGGUAGAAAGACGAAAGGAACACAUCGUUCCUCAGCUACAUCUGAGGACUACUGUCACCGAAAGAAAAUCACCUUGCUUAUAGACUCGGAAGGUGAAAGCAAGACCCAAAAAUUUGCAACAACGAAGCAAGUAAGAAGUAUUUUGGCAGUUUAUCGUGCACGCAAAGCUAAAUAGUCAAUUAAAUAAAAUUUUCUUAACACAUUUUACAUGACCAUUCGUUUAAAACGAUAUUAUGUCCUCCACUGUUAGUUACAGACGACAAUUUGUAAAUGCGUCACAACAUGCCCAUAAAAAUUCUACGGAGUUGGUUAUUUCGCCCCUAGAUGUCUUGAAAAUAUACUGAAAAUGUCAGCUGUCCCGUCGGCUGUUCUAUUUCGCGUGGCCUCGGACUGAGGAUGUCUGCUGAAACGAACGUCUCUCUUUUUGAAAUUUUACCUCCGAUUCCGUGUGUUUUCAGUUGCAUCUUGUGAAUUCCAUCAAUGCAGAGUUGUUCAAGGAGGAACAUGGUUUGGCUUUGCUAUCGCGUUUUUCAUCUCCGUUUUGAUAUACCCAUUUUGUUUCAAAGGUCUUUGGGAUGUACCUGAUGUACUGUGGUGGCUGCAAAAUCAUUCAAUGACUUGGUUCAAUCCAGGUCUUGGUUUUUUAAAUAGUGGUUUACAGUUUUAAUUUGCAGAGAUCCUGGAGUCACCUGAUGUGUUUCAUUGGCGUUGGAGUCACUCGGUGACAGAAGAGAAUGCCACUCAUGUUAUGUUGUCAGUGUAAAUAAAACAUAUCCAGUAUCA